AAUAAGAUGCCUGAGCAAAGGAUUAUUUUGAUAGAAUAAAUUACGUGAAAUUAAUCACUCUUAUUA
RNAcentral lists this transfer RNA (66 nucleotides) under Pseudothemis zonata. RNAcentral describes it as "tRNA-Ile". Lineage: Eukaryota; Metazoa; Arthropoda; Insecta; Odonata; Libellulidae. The record is from RNAcentral.